GAUGAACGCUAGCGGCAGGCCUAAUACAUGCAAGUCGAACGGUAAGGCCCUUUCGGGGGUACACGAGUGGCGGACGGGUGCGUAACGCGUAUGCAACAUGCCUUCCAGCGGGGGAUAUACCAGGGAAACUUGGCGCAAUACCCCAUAGAAUUACGGGACCGCAUGGUCUUGUGAUUAAAACUCCGGUGCUGGGAGAUUGGCAUGCGUGACAUUAGCUAGUUGGCGGGGUAACGGCCCACCAAGGCGACGAUGUCUAGCUGGUCUGAGAGGAUGAUCAGCCACACUGGGACUGAGACACGGCCCAGACUCCUACGGGAGGCAGCAGUAGGGAAUAUUGGACAAUGGGGGGAACCCUGAUCCAGCCAUGCCGCGUGAGGGAAGAAGGUCCUCUGGAUUGGUAAACCUCUUUUUGGCAGGAACAAACCUAGCGCUAUACGCGCAGCUGAGGGUACCUGCAGAUAAGCACGGCUAACUCCGUGCCAGCAGCCGCGGUAAACG
RNAcentral lists this ribosomal RNA (498 nucleotides) under uncultured bacterium. RNAcentral's name for it is "bacterial SSU rRNA". It matches the Rfam family "Bacterial small subunit ribosomal RNA", at positions 28 to 527 of the family's 1533-position model. The record is from RNAcentral.